Molecule: long non-coding RNA, 3027 nt
Organism: Pongo pygmaeus (Bornean orangutan)
Lineage: Eukaryota; Metazoa; Chordata; Mammalia; Primates; Hominidae
Exons: 3
Source: RefSeq, a predicted model, not a curated record
AGGAGUUCGAGACUAACCUGACUAACAUAGUGAAACCUUGUCUCUACUAAAAAUACAAAAAUUAGCCAGAUGUGGUGGUAUGCACCUGUAACCCCAGCUACUCGGGAGGCUGAGGCAGGACAAUCGCUUGAACCCGGGAAGUGGAGGUUGCAGUGAGCCAAGAUUGCACCACUACACUCCAGCCUAGGUGACAGAGUGAGACUUCAUCUCAAAAAACAAAAACAAAGCAAAAAAAACACUUCACAUUAUAAAAGAAAUGGUAUAGUUUGGAAUAGAGGAAAGAAAUCACUUAUAAUCUUACCAUCCUUACCACAGUCCUAUUAAUAUAUUUUGUGUAGUUUUUUUUUUUUUUUUUUUUUUUUUUUUUUUUUGAGAUGGAGUCUUGCACUGUCGCCUGGGCUGGAAUGCAAUGGCGCCACCUUGGCUCACUGAAAUCUCCACCUCCUGGCUUCACACGAUUCUCCUGCCUCAGCCUCCCAAGUAGCUGGGAUUACAGGCACACACCACCACGCCUGGCUAAUUUUUUUUGUGUUUUUAGCAGAGAUGGAGUUUCACUAUGUUGGCCAGGCUGUUCUCGAACUCCUGACGUCAUGAUCUGCCUGUCUCGGCUUCCCAAAGUGCUAGAAUUACAGGCAUGAGCCACUGUGCCCAACCUAUUUUGUGUAUUUUCUUUUAAUGUUCAGUGAAUUUUUUUUUUUUUUUUGAGAUGGAGUCUUGCUGUGUCGCCCAGGGUGGAGUGCAGUGGCACGGUCUCAGCUCACUGCAACCUCCGCCCCCUGGGUUCAUGCCAUCCUCCUGCCUCAGCCUCCCGAGUAGCUGGGACUACAGGCGCCUGCCUCCAUGCCCGGCAAAUUUUUUGUAUUUUUAGUAGAGAUGGGAUUUCACCGUGUUAGCCAGGAUGUUGUCUAUCACCUGACCUCGUGAUCCACCUGCCUCGGCCUCCCAAAGUGCUGGGAUUACAGGCGUCAGCCACCGCGCCCGGCCCAGUGAAUUAUUUUUUUAACUUGGUUAAAAUCUUUGUAAGUAGUGUAUUAGUUACCACAUUGUUAUGCAGUUAGACAUUUUUUUUUUUUUGAGACAGAGUCUUGCUCUGUUGCCUAUGUUGGAGUGCAGUGGCAUGAUCUCGGCUCACUGCAAGCUCUGCCUCCUGGGUUCACACCAUUCUCCUGCCUCAGCCUCCCAAGUAGCUGGGACUACAGGCGCCUGCCACCACGCCCAGCUAAUUUUUUGUAUUUUUAGUAGAAACGGGGUUUCACCAUGUCGGUCAGGAUGAUCUCGAUCUCCUGACCUCCCUAUCCGCCCGCCUCAGCCUCCCAAAGUGCUGGGAUUACAGGCGUGAGCCACCAUGCCCGGACAGACUUUUCUUUUUUUGAGAUGAGAUCUUACUCUGUCACCCAGGCUGGAGUUCUGUGGUGUGACCUCAGCUCACUGUAGCCUUGACCUCCUGGGCUGAUGUGAUCCUCCCACCUCAGCCUCCCCAAUAGCUGGACUACAGGCUCCCGCCAUCUCGUCCAGCUAAUUUUUUGUAUUUUUAAGUAGAGAUGGGGUUUCACCAUGUUGUCUAGGCUGGUCUUGAACUCCUAACCUCAAGUGAUCCACCUGCCUCGGCCUCCCAAAGUGCUGGGAUUACAAGUGAGAGCCAUUGCAGCCGGUCAGACUUUUAUAAAAGUUUUAUGGUUAUAAAUGGUUAUAUAAAAUAUCUUUGUACAUAUAUUUUCAUAUCUUGAAGUUAAAGUAUAUAAAUGAUAUAAAAGACACAAAGGUAACUUAUAAAUGCUAUAUCUUAUAUUAUUUGCUUUGGCUCUCUAGAAGUGAAGUAAUUAAAUCAGAUGUUUUUUUGAUUCUUAUUGCUUAAUUACUGUCCAAAAGAAUAGGAUUAUAGUGUCAUCGAAAUUAUAUAAACAUGAAUUUUCACUUUUUUUUUUUUUUUUUUUGACAGAGUCUCUCUCUGUCACCCAGGCUGGAGUGCAGUGGCGUGAUCUCAGCUCACUGCAACCCCCGCCUCCCAGGUUCAAGUGAUUCUCGUGGCUCAGCCUCCUGAGUAGCUGGGAUUACAGGUGUCUGCCACCAGGCCUGGCUAAAUUUUUUGUUUUUGUUUUUCAGACGGAGUCUUGCUCUGUCACCAGGCUGGAGUGCAGUGGCAGGAUCUCAGCUCACUGCAACCUCCGCCUCCCAAAUUCAAGUGAUUCUUCUGCCUCAGCCUCCCGAGUAGCUGGGACUACAGGCAUGUGCCACCACGCCCAGCUAAUUUUUGUAUUUUUUUUAGAGAUGGGGUUUCACCAUGUUGGCCAGGAUGGUCUUGAUCUCUUGACCUUGUGAUCCGUCUGCCUUGGCUUCCCAGAGUGUUGGGAUUACAGGUAUGAGCCACUGUGCCAGCCCUAAUUUUUGUGUUUUUAGUAGUGACGGGGUUUCGCCACGUUCUCCAGGCUGGUUUUGAACUUCUGACCUUAUGUCAUCCGCCUGCCUUGGCCUCCCAGAGUUCUGGAAAUACAGGCAUGAGCCAUCACACCUGGCCUAUUUUUUAAAAUUAAAACCUUUUUUUAAAUUUCUUUUUUUCUUUCUUUUUUUGGUUCUAGCAGCAAUGGGAUGUUUGUGAUUUUGUUCCUUUUAUCCCUUCAUCAUGUAGUUUUUGAGUUAUUGCGCCUGGAGUCUGUGCCUGAUGUUAGGGGUAGCUACAGCCAUGAAAUGGGGCUUAUAAUCUAGCAGAGGAGUUAACUUAAUUGCAUAAAUAGCUAAUUGUUAUUGUAAUAUAUCCCAAGAAGGAAAGCAUAGGUAAAUGACCAUAUGGCACCUAACCUCGUCUGGAGAUUCAGAGACAUUGUCUUUGAUGAAGUGACUUUAAGCAAGGACCUGCGGGAUACAUAGAAGUUAUCCAGCUGCAAAAGAAGAUGUGAACUUUGUCCCCAUAAGGAUGGAGCUUUAAAAAGAACAGAUAAUGGGGUUUUCUUUUUUUUGAAGCUUCGCUCAUUCGCCCAGGCUGGAGUGCAGUGGUGCAGUCUCCCCUUACUGUAACCUCCACCUUCCGGG